This 497-nucleotide ribosomal RNA is filed under the name uncultured bacterium. RNAcentral describes it as "partial 16S ribosomal RNA". It matches the Rfam family "Bacterial small subunit ribosomal RNA", at positions 28 to 507 of the family's 1533-position model. The record is from RNAcentral.
GAUGAACGCUGGCGGCGUGCCUAAUACAUGCAAGUCGAGCGAACAGACGAGGAGCUUGCUCCUCUGACGUUAGCGGCGGACGGGUGAGUAACACGUGGAUAACCUACCUAUAAGACUGGGAUAACUUCGGGAAACCGGAGCUAAUACCGGAUAAUAUAUUGAACCGCAUGGUUCAAUAGUGAAAGACGGUUUUGCUGUCACUUAUAGAUGGAUCCGCGCCGCAUUAGCUAGUUGGUAAGGUAACGGCUUACCAAGGCAACGAUGCGUAGCCGACCUGAGAGGGUGAUAGGCCAAACUGGAACUGAGACACGGUACAGACACCUACGGGAGGCAGCAGUAGGGAAUAUUCCGCAAUGGGCGAAAGCCUGACGGAGCAACGCCGCGUGAGUGAUGAAGGUCUUCGGAUCGUAAAACUCUGUUAUUAGGGAAGAACAAAUGUGUAAGUAACUAUGCACGUCUUGACGGUACCUAAUCAGAAAGCCACGGCUAACUACGUG